CACUAUAAGUAUGGAAAAUUCGAUGAAAAUGCAACAGAAAAAUAACAAGGAAAAACAAUAUUUCUUCGUUCAUUUCUGACGUUCUCAUCAUCGUUUGCUGCAUUCAUCCGCCUCCAGCCUCGGUUUCUUCUUUGUUUAGGUUCUGGGUUAAUUAUUUCAAGGUUCUUGAAAUUCAACUACUAGAUGGGUUCUCUUGUAUCCUGUCGAUUACUACUACGGAGGAUAAGGGUGCGGGAUUAAAUGCAAGACUGGCAGUGGAGACAUUGAUGUUGGUCGAAACUUGUGAGGGGAAUAGCCAAGACGAUUCCCAUCAUUGGAGAUUCUCAGGGCUCUUUCCUUUGGGGCUUUGGUGCUGAAACGUUUUGGCUUCACUUGUUAAGGUAUGGAGCUAUACGAGCAAGAUAUUGAUGUUGUCAAUUACACAAUUUUAGGUUAACAACUUAAUGCCGGUGGAGAUGAUCUUGCACUAGUUUUCAUGUCCACUCGUUGAUUUGGAGUGCGAACCUUUUGCACCAGUUUUCAUGUCGAUCGGGUUCAAGUAAUUCGAAGUGUGAGCUCGAAGAAAUCAGCGACCAUCUUUAUUGUAAAUAAGAAUCAAGUGUGUUUGGUGCUUUGGCCUUCUUUGUACUAUGUGAAAAAUUGUUACCCGCUCCAACGGGUCUGGCUUGUUUCUUAACCAAAGAAAUGAAAAUUUUGAUUCAAAACCAA
Sesamum indicum (sesame) is the source of this 708-nucleotide long non-coding RNA. RefSeq lists it as uncharacterized. NCBI's taxonomy places the organism in Eukaryota, Viridiplantae, Streptophyta, Magnoliopsida, Lamiales, Pedaliaceae. The record is from RefSeq and is a predicted model, not a curated record.